AACGAACGCUGGCGGCAUGCCUAACACAUGCAAGUCGAACGAGACCUUCGGGUCUAGUGGCGCACGGGUGCGUAACGCGUGGGAACCUGCCCUUAGGUUCGGAAUAACUCCCCGAAAGGGGUGCUAAUACCGGAUAAUGUCUUCGGACCAAAGAUUUAACGCCUUUGGAUGGGCCCGCGGUGGAUUAGCUAGUUGGUAGGGUAAAAGCCUACCAAGGCGGCGAUCCAUCGCUGGUCUGAGAGAGUGAUCAGCCACACUGGGACUGAGACUCGGCCCAGACUCCUCGGGAGGCCGUGAGUGGGGAAAAUUGAGAACGGGCGGGAGGCCAGACCCAGACCUCCCCCGUAAAAGAAGAGGGCUUAUGGGUUUUAAGGCGUUUUUCCCCGGGAUAAUAAUGACAGGACGGGGAGAAAAGGGCGGGGUCACUUCCAC
Molecule: ribosomal RNA, 432 nt
Filed under: uncultured bacterium
Lineage: Bacteria
Description: partial 16S ribosomal RNA
Rfam family: Bacterial small subunit ribosomal RNA
Source: RNAcentral